This 492-nucleotide ribosomal RNA is filed under the name uncultured bacterium. RNAcentral's name for it is "partial 16S ribosomal RNA". It matches the Rfam family "Bacterial small subunit ribosomal RNA", at positions 29 to 507 of the family's 1533-position model. The record is from RNAcentral.
AGUGAACGCUGGCGGUAGGCCUAACACAUGCAAGUCGAACGGCAGCACAGUAAGAGCUUGCUCUUACGGGUGGCGAGUGGCGGACGGGUGAGGAAUACAUCGGAAUCUACUUUUUCGUGGGGGAUAACGUAGGGAAACUUACGCUAAUACCGCAUACGACCUACGGGUGAAAGCAGGGGAUCUUCGGACCUUGCGCGAUUGAAUGAGCCGAUGUCGGAUUAGCUAGUUGGCUGGGUAAAGGCCCACCAAGGCGACGAUCCGUAGCUGGUCUGAGAGGAUGAUCAGCCACACUGGAACUGAGACACGGUCCAGACUCCUACGGGAGGCAGCAGUGGGGAAUAUUGGACAAUGGGCGCAAGCCUGAUCCAGCCAUACCGCGUGAGUGAAGAAGGCCUUCGGGUUGUAAAGCCCUUUUGUUGGGAAAGAAAAGCAGCAGGUUAAUCCCCCGCUGUUCUGACGGUACCCAAAGAAUAAGCACCGGCUAACUUCGUG